This 457-nucleotide long non-coding RNA is filed under the name Homo sapiens (human). RNAcentral's name for it is "novel transcript". The record is from RNAcentral. Lineage: Eukaryota; Metazoa; Chordata; Mammalia; Primates; Hominidae.
GUGGGAACAUCCAGUUGCGGGAAAACAAGCUUAACACGCCCACUGAUUCUACAUUAUGCUCCUACCUCCCGGCAGCCUCUCCAGGCCCAGAACUUUCUCCAGUCAGCCUCUACAGACCAAGCUCAUGACUCACAAUGGCCUAUUUAGGCCCAUACCCUACGUCACGGCAGCCUCCGCAGAUGAGCCUACUGCCUCACAACAGCCUCCACAGGCACAGCUCCAUCGUUACAAUGGCCUCUUUAGACCCAGCUCCUGCCUCCCAGCCUUCUCUCCAGGCUCUGAACUUUCUCAGGUCUCCCUCUGUUGUCCAAGGCUGGAGUGUAGUAGUGCUAUCGCAGCUGACUGCAGCCUCAACCUUCCAGGCUGAAGCGAUCCUCCCACCUCAACCUCCCACGUGGCUGAGACUACAGGUGCUUGCCACUAUGCCCAACUAACAUUUGGAAUUUUCGUAUACGUG